CUCAAAUUUGAAAUCUGGCUUCGGCCCGAGUUGUAAUUUGCAGAGGAUGCUUUUGGUGCGGUGCCUUCCGAGUUCCCUGGAACGGGACGCCACAGAGGGUGAGAGCCCCGUAUGGUCGGACACCAAUCCUGUGUAAAGCUCCUUCGACGAGUCGAGUAGUUUGGGAAUGCUGCUCUAAAUGGGAGGUAAAUCUCUUCUAAAGCUAAAUACCGGCCAGAGACCGAUAGCGCACAAGUAGAGUGAUCGAAAGAUGAAAAGCACCUUGAAAAGGGGGUUAAACAGUACGUGAAAUUGUUGAAAGGGAAGCACUUGUGACCAGACUUGGGCCGGGCGGCUCAUCAGGGGUUCUCCCCUGUGCAUUCCGCCCGGUACAGGCCAGCAUCGGUUCUUACCGGGGGAUAAGAACGGCAGGAACGUGGCUCCCUCUCGGGGGAGUGUUAUAGCCUGCCGUACGAUACCCUGGCGGGGACCGAGGUUCGCGCUUCCGCAAGGAUGCUGGCGUAAUGGUUACUAGUGACCCGUCUUGAAACACGGACCAAGGAGUCGUCCAUUAGAGCGAGCGUUUGGGUGUAAAACCCGCACGCGUAAUGAAAGUGAAAUUAGGUGAGAGCUUCGGCGCAUCAUCGACCGAUCCUGAUGUUCUCGGAUGGAUUUGAGUAAGAGUUUUAACGGACGGACCCGAAAGACAGUGAACUAUGCUUGUAUAGGGUGAAGCCAGAGGAAACUCUGGUGGAGGCUCGCAGCGGUUCUG
Molecule: ribosomal RNA, 751 nt
Filed under: Tubakia dryinoides
Lineage: Eukaryota; Fungi; Ascomycota; Sordariomycetes; Diaporthales; Tubakiaceae
Description: eukaryotic LSU rRNA
Rfam family: Eukaryotic large subunit ribosomal RNA
Source: RNAcentral